GGGCGUUUUGCCAGGUCGCAAAUACCCCCUGAUCUGCCCCUACGAGGCAGAGACCGGCGGUUCGAGCCCGUCAACGCCCA
RNAcentral lists this transfer RNA (80 nucleotides) under Acidimicrobiia bacterium. RNAcentral's name for it is "tRNA-OTHER". The record is from RNAcentral. Lineage: Bacteria; Bacillati; Actinomycetota; Acidimicrobiia.